AGAGUUUGAUCAUGGCUCAGAUUGAACGCUGGCGGCAUGCCUUACACAUGCAAGUCGAACGGCAGCGCGGGAGCAAUCCUGGCGGCGGGUGGCGAACGGGUGAGUAAUAUAUCGGAACGUGCCUUAGAGUGGGGGAUAACUAGUCGAAAGACUAGCUAAUACCGCAUACGACCUACGGGUGAAAGUGGGGGAUCGCAAGACCUCAUGCUCUUAGAGCGGCCGAUAUCUGAUUAGCUAGUUGGUGGGGUAAAAGCCUACCAAGGCGACGAUCAGUAGCUGGUCUGAGAGGACGACCAGCCACACUGGGACUGGGACACGGCCCAGACUCCUACGGGAGGCGGCAGUGGGGAAUUUU
Molecule: ribosomal RNA, 355 nt
Filed under: uncultured Burkholderiales bacterium
Lineage: Bacteria; Pseudomonadati; Pseudomonadota; Betaproteobacteria; Burkholderiales
Description: bacterial SSU rRNA
Rfam family: Bacterial small subunit ribosomal RNA
Source: RNAcentral